AGUGGGGAAUAUUGCGCAAUGGGCGGAAGCCUGACGCAGCGACGCCGCGUGGGGGAUGACGGCCUUCGGGUUGUAAACCUCUUUCAGCAGGGACGAAGCGCAAGUGACGGUACCUGCAGAAGAAGCACCGGCCAACUACGUGCCAGCAGCCGCGGUAAUACGUAGGGUGCAAGCGUUGUCCGGAAUUAUUGGGCGUAAAGAGCUCGUAGGCGGUUUGUUGCGUCGGCUGUGAAAUCCCGAGGCUCAACCUCGGGUCUGCAGUCGAUACGAGCAAACUAGAGUGUUGCAGGGGAGACUGGAAUUCCUGGUGUAGCGGUGAAAUGCGCAGAUAUCAGGAGGAACACCGGUGGCGAAGGCGGGUCUCUGGGCAACAACUGACGCUGAGGAGCGAAAGCGUGGGGAGCGAA
This 407-nucleotide ribosomal RNA is filed under the name uncultured Blastococcus sp. Its description in RNAcentral is "bacterial SSU rRNA". It matches the Rfam family "Bacterial small subunit ribosomal RNA", at positions 353 to 772 of the family's 1533-position model. The record is from RNAcentral. Lineage: Bacteria; Bacillati; Actinomycetota; Actinomycetes; Geodermatophilales; Geodermatophilaceae.